Molecule: ribosomal RNA, 431 nt
Filed under: Salmonella enterica
Lineage: Bacteria; Pseudomonadati; Pseudomonadota; Gammaproteobacteria; Enterobacterales; Enterobacteriaceae
Also listed under: 2 other names
Description: bacterial SSU rRNA
Rfam family: Bacterial small subunit ribosomal RNA
Source: RNAcentral
GAAGAGUUUGAUCAUGGCUCAGAUUGAACGCUGGCGGCAGGCCUAACACAUGCAAGUCGAACGGUAACAGGAAGCAGCUUGCUGCUUUGCUGACGAGUGGCGGACGGGUGAGUAAUGUCUGGGAAACUGCCUGAUGGAGGGGGAUAACUACUGGAAACGGUGGCUAAUACCGCAUAACGUCGCAAGACCAAAGAGGGGGACCUUCGGGCCUCUUGCCAUCAGAUGUGCCCAGAUGGGAUUAGCUUGUUGGUGAGGUAACGGCUCACCAAGGCGACGAUCCCUAGCUGGUCUGAGAGGAUGACCAGCCACACUGGAACUGAGACACGGUCCAGACUCCUACGGGAGGCAGCAGUGGGGAAUAUUGCACAAUGGGCGCAAGCCUGAUGCAGCCAUGCCGCGUGUAUGAAGAAGGCCUUCGGGUUGUAAAGUAC